AAGAAAAGGAAAGAAGAAGAAUGAGGAAAGAAAGACAAAGAGUUUACAUAUCUGUGAAGGUUGAAUCAACUCCAUCUUGGAUGCUAAUCUGCCAUGUUAGCUUCUGAUUAACCCGUUUUGGGAAAGCCUCUGAGAUUUCCAGUUUAUCUGUUGUUCGUCGUGUAAGAGGACUGUACUUCCUGCAAAUCCUGCCCUCAGGGCAAUUUCCUACCUAUUCUCUGUGAAACAUGUAUGCCUCUCCCCUAGAGUAUAUAAUCUCUGGGUCUGGAGGCUAUUGGUGCCGCAGGGAUCCACCAUCUUGUCUUUCCACCACCCAAGACACAGGCAUGGUUUCUGUUCCUAAGCCCCUAUUAAAUAUUUCUUCCUAAGAAA
Homo sapiens (human) is the source of this 372-nucleotide long non-coding RNA. RefSeq lists it as uncharacterized. The record is from RefSeq and is a predicted model, not a curated record. Lineage: Eukaryota; Metazoa; Chordata; Mammalia; Primates; Hominidae. The transcript is spliced from 2 exons.